GAUGAACGUUGGCGGCGUGCCUAACACAUGCAAGUCGAACGCUAGUAGCAAUAUUAGAGUGGCGCACGGGUGAGUAACACGUAGCUUACCCACCUCCCAGCGCGGGAUAACGGUUCGAAAGAACUGCUAAUACCGCAUAAGCUCACGGGCUAUGGAGGCUAGUGAGAAAAGGCUUAGGUCACUGGGAGCGGGGGCUGCGGCCCAUCAGCUGGUUGGGGCGGUAACGGCGCACCAAGGCGACGACGGGUAGGGGACC
RNAcentral lists this ribosomal RNA (256 nucleotides) under uncultured bacterium. RNAcentral's name for it is "partial 16S ribosomal RNA". It matches the Rfam family "Bacterial small subunit ribosomal RNA", at positions 28 to 292 of the family's 1533-position model. The record is from RNAcentral.